Molecule: transfer RNA, 86 nt
Organism: Puccinia triticina 1-1 BBBD Race 1
Lineage: Eukaryota; Fungi; Basidiomycota; Pucciniomycetes; Pucciniales; Pucciniaceae
Rfam family: tRNA
About the family: Transfer RNA (tRNA) molecules are approximately 80 nucleotides in length. Their secondary structure includes four short double-helical elements and three loops (D, anti-codon, and T loops). Further hydrogen bonds mediate the characteristic L-shaped molecular structure. tRNAs have two regions of fundamental functional importance: the anti-codon, which is responsible for specific mRNA codon recognition, and the 3' end, to which the tRNAs corresponding amino acid is attached (by aminoacyl-tRNA synthetases). tRNAs cope with the degeneracy of the genetic code in two manners: having more than one tRNA (with a specific anti-codon) for a particular amino acid; and 'wobble' base-pairing, i.e. permitting non-standard base-pairing at the 3rd anti-codon position.
Source: Rfam
GCGCCUGUAGCCUAAUUGGUAAAGGCAGCACUCUAGUAUGUGUCUCAGCAUAGCUGAGGUCGUGAGUUUAACUCUCACCAGACACA